Molecule: ribosomal RNA, 579 nt
Filed under: uncultured bacterium
Lineage: Bacteria
Description: partial 16S ribosomal RNA
Rfam family: Bacterial small subunit ribosomal RNA
Source: RNAcentral
UGGGGAAUUUUGGACAAUGGGCGAAAGCCUGAUCCAGCAAUGCCGCGUGUGUGAAGAAGGCCUUCGGGUUGUAAAGCACUUUUGUCCGGAAAGAAAUCCUUGGCUCUAAUACAGUCGGGGGAUGACGGUACCGGAAGAAUAAGCACCGGCUAACUACGUGCCAGCAGCCGCGGUAAUACGUAGGGUGCAAGCGUUAAUCGGAAUUACUGGGCGUAAAGCGUGCGCAGGCGGUUUGCUAAGACCGAUGUGAAAUCCCCGGGCUCAACCUGGGAACUGCAUUGGUGACUGGCAGGCUAGAGUAUGGCAGAGGGGGGUAGAACUCCACGUGUAGCAGUGAAAUGCGUAGAGAUGUGGAGGAAUACCGAUGGCGAAGGCAGCCCCCUGGGCCAAUACUGACGCUCAUGCACGAAAGCGUGGGGAGCAAACAGGAUUAGAUACCCUGGUAGUCCACGCCCUAAACGAUGUCAACUAGUUGUUGGGGAUUCAUUUCCUUAGUAACGUAGCUAACGCGUGAAGUUGACCGCCUGGGGAGUACGGUCGCAAGAUUAAAACUCAAAGGAAUUGACGGGGUCAUAGCUG